AGAGUUUGAUCCUGGCUCAGAUUGAACGCUGGCGGAAUGCUUUACACAUGCAAGUCGAGCGGCAGCGCGGUCUUCGGACUGGCGGCGAGCGGCGAACGGGUGAGUAAUACAUCGGAACAUGCCCAGUCGUGGGGGAUAACACUUCGAAAGAAGUGCUAAUACCACAUACGUCCUGAGGGAGAAAGCGGGGGAUCGCAAGACCUCGCGCGAUUGGAGUGGCCGAUGUCAGAUUAGCUAGUUGGUGGGGUAAAGGCCUACCAAGGCAACGAUCUGUAGCUGGUCUGAGAGGAUGAUCAGCCACACUGGGACUGAGACACGGCCCAGACUCCUACGGGAGGCAGCAGUGGGGAAUUUUGGACAAUGGGGGCAACCCUGAUCCAGCCAUUCCGCGUGAGUGAAGAAGGCCUUCGGGUUGUAAAGCUCUUUCGGCAGGAACGAAACGGUGAGCUCUAACAUAGCUCGCUAAUGACGGUACCUGAAGAAGAAGCACCGGCUAACUACGUGCCAGCAGCCGCGGUAAUACGUAGGGUGCGAGCGUUAAUCGGAAUUACUGGGCGUAAAGCGUGCGCAGGCGGUUGUGUAAGACAGGUGUGAAAUCCCCGGGC
This 605-nucleotide ribosomal RNA is filed under the name uncultured bacterium. Its description in RNAcentral is "bacterial SSU rRNA". It matches the Rfam family "Bacterial small subunit ribosomal RNA", at positions 8 to 608 of the family's 1533-position model. The record is from RNAcentral.